GUUAAAAGCUAGGGCUAGGACUUGGAGGAUGUGUAGGCAAACGGAAGGAGAGCCGGGGGAAGAAAAACCGAAAUGGAUUCAUUCUCUGUCCUGGAUGGAGGAGGAGAGGAGAAGAGAAGGGGACGUGCGAGCUCCCUUCAACUGCCUCUGUCCGGUGAAAAGUGCUCAGACCCCCGGGGCUGAGCCGGGCUCAGGAGUCCGCGCGGACUUUCGCUUAGAGCUGCCAAUCAAACCGCUAACUAGCCACCACCCUGCUCUGGCACCGACAU
This is a long non-coding RNA of Cariama cristata (Red-legged seriema), 269 nucleotides long. It matches the Rfam family "SOX2 overlapping transcript exon 3". Rfam says of the family: SOX2 overlapping transcript (SOX2OT) is a long non-coding RNA, containing at least 5 exons. The SOX2 gene, an important regulator of neurogenesis, lies within one of the introns of SOX2OT. The record is from Rfam. Lineage: Eukaryota; Metazoa; Chordata; Aves; Cariamiformes; Cariamidae.